GCCGCCACCUCUGCCCCAGCGAGGACUACUCCUGCCUCGACCUCGCCGACGGCUACCACGCCGAGAUCGAAACCAGCUGUCACAGAUAUUUCUAUUGUCAAGGAGGUGAUCGACUGGCAACUCUAUCGUGCCUCGGAGGAAAAAUCUUCGACGGUCAUGCGUGCGUCGAGCCCUCGCGCCACGAAUGCGGGGGCCAAAGGACGGACAUUAUCGAAAAUAGUGACACAAAAUGCGAACAAGGUUUUUUCCUGCAACCGGGAACCGAGUGUAAAAGUUACUAUUUCUGUGUGUUGGGCUCUAGAACUUAUUUAAGUUGCCCAACAGACCAAGUGUUUAAUGGACAAGUGUGUGUACCCAAAAGUCAAUAUACCUGCCCGGGCUGAAAGUGCCCCGUUAACCCUUUGACCGCUAUUGCUGCCCACGACUGGUGGAACUGGGCCCGUGGAAGGAAUCGCUAUUAAAUGAUGUACCUGAUACCAAAAGGCUGUGAAUAUCACUGACAUAUCAGCAGCACUAGUUUUUUAACCCUAUCGCUUAAGACAGUGUAGUGUUAAUUUGUUAAGUUUUCUCUAUCUACCUCCAUAAUGAUAUUACGAGUUUUAAAUAAAGCACAUUAAUAAUAAUUAAAAUAAAUUGUAUUUAUAUGUAGCUUGUAGUUUUUAAUAAAAUAAAUACAUUUUAAUACU
Molecule: long non-coding RNA, 686 nt
Organism: Papilio polytes (common Mormon)
Lineage: Eukaryota; Metazoa; Arthropoda; Insecta; Lepidoptera; Papilionidae
Exons: 2
Source: RefSeq, a predicted model, not a curated record